AUUGAACGCUAGCGGCAUGCUUAACACAUGCAAGUCGAACGGUAGCAGAUCUAGCUUGCUAGAUGCUGACGAGUGGCGGACGGGUGAGUAACGCGUAGGAAUUUACCUUGUAGUGGGGGAUAACCUGGGGAAACCCAAGCUAAUACCGCAUAAGCCCUAAGGGGGAAAGCGUGGGACCGAAAGGCCACGUGCUAUGAGAUGAGCCUGCGUCGGAUUAGCUAGUUGGUGGGGUAAAGGCCUACCAAGGCGUAGAUCCGUAGCUGGUCUGAGAGGACGACCAGCCACACUGGGACUGAGACACGGCCCAGACUCCUACGGGAGGCAG
RNAcentral lists this ribosomal RNA (325 nucleotides) under uncultured Pseudomonadota bacterium. RNAcentral's name for it is "bacterial SSU rRNA". It matches the Rfam family "Bacterial small subunit ribosomal RNA", at positions 30 to 351 of the family's 1533-position model. Lineage: Bacteria; Pseudomonadati; Pseudomonadota. The record is from RNAcentral.